AGGAUGAACGCUGGCGGCGUGCCUAAUACAUGCAAGUCGAGCGGUAAGGCCUCUUCGGAGGUACACGAGCGGCGGACGGCUGAGUAACGCGUAGGAACAUACCCCAAAGUGAGGGAUAACUGCUCGAAAGAGUAGCUAAUACCGCAUGUGAUCUAAGGAUUAAAGCUUCGGCGCUUUGGGAAUGGCCUGCGUAAGAUUAGCUUGUUGGUGAGGUAAUAGCUCACCAAGGCGACGAUCUUUAGCUGGUCUGAGAGGAUGAUCAGCCAGACUGGGACUGAGACACGGCCCAGACUCCUACGGGAGGCAGCAGUAGGGAAUUUCCACAAUGGACGAAAGUCUAGAUGGAGCAACGCCGCGUGCAGGAUGAAGGCCCUGGGUCGUAAACUGCUUUAUAUGUGAAGAUUUUUGACGGUAACAUAUGAAUAAGGAUCGGCUAACUCCGUACCAGCAGCCGC
Molecule: ribosomal RNA, 455 nt
Filed under: uncultured soil bacterium
Lineage: Bacteria
Description: bacterial SSU rRNA
Rfam family: Bacterial small subunit ribosomal RNA
Source: RNAcentral